AUUGAACGCUGGCGGCAUGCCUUACACAUGCAAGUCGAAUGGCAGCACGGGAGCAAUCCUGGUGGCGAGUGGCGAACGGGUGAGUAAUAUAUCGGAACGUGCCCAGUCGUGGGGGAUAACGUAGCGAAAGCUACGCUAAUACCGCAUACGAACUAUGGAUGAAAGCGGGGGAUCGCAAGACCUCGCGCGAUUGGAGCGGCCGAUAUCAGAUUAGGUAGUUGGUGAGGUAAAGGCUCACCAAGCCGACGAUCUGUAGCUGGUCUGAGAGGACGACCAGCCACACUGGGACUGAGACACGGCCCAGACUCCUACGGGAGGCAGCAGUGGGGAAUUUUGGACAAUGGGCGCAAGCCUGAUCCAGCAAUGCCGCGUGCAGGAUGAAGGCCUUCGGGUUGUAAACUGCUUUUGUACGGAACGAAACGGUGAGCUCUAAUACAGUUUGCUGAUGACGGUACCGUAAGAAUAAGCACCGGCUAACUACGUGCCAGCCGCCGCGGUAA
RNAcentral lists this ribosomal RNA (500 nucleotides) under uncultured bacterium. Its description in RNAcentral is "partial 16S ribosomal RNA". It matches the Rfam family "Bacterial small subunit ribosomal RNA", at positions 30 to 523 of the family's 1533-position model. The record is from RNAcentral.